GACAGAGGUGCCAAGCGUUAGGCGGAAUCACUGGGCUUAAAGCGUGUGUAGGCGGAUUGGUAAGUACCUUGUGAAAUCCCACGGCUCAACCGUGGAACUGCUUGGUAUACUGCUUAUCUUGGGCCACUUAGGGGCUACCGGAACAAACGGUGGAGCGGUGAAAUGCGUAGAUAUCGUUUGGAACGCCAAUGGUGAAAACAGGUAGCUGGGAGUGUGCCGACGCUGAGACACGAAAGCCAGGGGAGCGAACGGG
RNAcentral lists this ribosomal RNA (253 nucleotides) under uncultured bacterium. Its description in RNAcentral is "partial 16S ribosomal RNA". It matches the Rfam family "Bacterial small subunit ribosomal RNA", at positions 524 to 776 of the family's 1533-position model. The record is from RNAcentral.